AACGAACGCUGGCGGCAUGCCUAACACAUGCAAGUCGAACGAGACCUUCGGGUCUAGUGGCGCACGGGGGCGUAACGCGGGGGAACCUGGCCGUAGGUUCGGAAUAACUCCCCGAAAGGGGUGCUAAUACCGGAUAAUGUCUUCGGACCAAAGAUUUAUCGCCUUGGGAUGGGCCCGCGUUGGAUGAGCUAGUUGGUAGGGUAAAAGCCUACCAAGGCGACGAUCCAUAGCUGGGCUGAGAGGAUGAUCAGCCACACUGGGACUGAGACACGGCCCAGACUCCUACGGGAGGCAGCAAUGGGGAAUAUUGGACAAUGGGCGAAAGCAUGAUCCAGCAAUGCCGCGUGAGUGAUGAAGGCCUUAGGGUUGUAAAGCUCUUUUACCCGGGAUGAUAAUGACAGUACCGGGAGAAUAAGCUCCGGCUAACUCCGUG
Molecule: ribosomal RNA, 433 nt
Filed under: uncultured bacterium
Lineage: Bacteria
Description: partial 16S ribosomal RNA
Rfam family: Bacterial small subunit ribosomal RNA
Source: RNAcentral